This is a non-coding RNA of Taeniopygia guttata (zebra finch), 2308 nucleotides long. The record is from RefSeq and is a predicted model, not a curated record. NCBI's taxonomy places the organism in Eukaryota, Metazoa, Chordata, Aves, Passeriformes, Estrildidae.
GACCGGACGGGACGGAACGGGACGGGGAGAAACAGCCGAGUCACGGCCCGGAGCCCGUGAGGGCAGGGCGGGGGAGCUGUCGCCCGUCUCGGGCAGGGUACCUCGCGCUCCCUCAGGGACGGUCUCCAAUGUCAGAUGCCUUCCUCCUUUCAGGAACCUCUGUUGGCGGACGCUACGGUUGCCUCAUGCCAUCACACCUUAUUGCUUCAAGCCGGUUACUUGUCAUACUUCAGGGAAAAAUAACACAAAUUAAGUUCCCUCUUACGUGGCCGUGCAGGGCAAAGCUUUCGCGGUUUUGCCCGCCAUUCCCAAGUGAAGGCGUAGAGAUGGAUUGGGUGCUGGAGAAGGUCCUCCGUAGCUUUGUGUGCUGCAGGACACAAAUCAUCCUCAGCUUUAACGAAUAUCACAGAUGCCUCUUUAAAUGUUACAGUAGAAACGUGGACCUUGUUGGAGUUGUCAGUGUCCUGAGUAGAAGUAGAUGGCAUUAGGAAUAGCUAAAAUGCCUACUUGGACUCCGAAGGUCUAUGUAAGUACAGCCUCUGACUGCAGCUGCUGUGAAAAAAGAAGAAACUAUAAAGAAGGUGUAUUUAUGUACUGUAAAACUGGGAGAAAAUGAGAGACAGGUAAGGUAGUUAAUACCUUUGCUUAGCUGCAUGUAAACCCAUAGCCUUAUUCUUGUUUUGCAGAGUAAGCAAAAUUGUAAAGGUUAAGCAACUUUUCAUGUUCACAUAGCAAGGAGUGGCAAGAUGAUGAAUGGUCUGGCCUUCUGUUCCAACGACUAGACCUUGUGCAUCCUCCACUCUUAUGCAAGUUACUGUAAUUACAUUAUGACUAAAGUGCCAUCUGAAUAAUUUUACCAAUAAAUUUCCCAGGGAAAACACUCUUACCACAUGUAAAAGGUAGGACUAUCUUACAUCUCUGUAAUCACAUCACAUUUCUGCAGUAAAAGAAAAUGUGCUGGUGGUUUCCUGGAAUUAUCCUUGCUUUGUGUUAUCCCUAAAGACUCCAAGUUUGGUACUUGGAGAACACCUGAUACAAGACAGGACUGUCAAUUUCCACAGGAAAAUCAAGGGCCAACCUUAGCUAAUCCUAACACAUGAGUAAUUGCAUAAAACAUGUUUAGGUGUUUUUAUAUUAGUGUGGAUCUCAAGGAACUGCUGCUUAUUCAGAUCUCAGUUCUCAGAGAUUUUAUUUAAAAACCAUAUUGUUCAGGAAGUUACAGAGGGACAUGUUUUAAACUCCUUAGUGGCUUUUCAAAAGAGAUAUGUAAACAAAACUCAAAUUUAUAAUACACAAAUAUAUAUAUGUAAUAUACAUAUUUUUAUAUAUGUAGCUGCAGCAUAUGCUGGAAAAAACAGUUCAAAAAAUAUUAUUGUCAGUGAAAACCCAUCAAAAUUUGUUUAGGUAGGCUGAGAUUAUUUUUUGGAGAUAAUAGCUGUAUAGUAAUUUCUGUUAGUCUUUUACCAGAUUCUACAUACUAUGUCUUCUUUGUCAGGCACACAUGCAAACCCCCACCUUUUUAAUAAGAAUUUCCUCCUCUAAUUUUAAAUUUCUUUUCAGCACAGUAUUCUCAGUUUCCUCUUAUUACUGUACUGGUAAAAAGCUGUUACACAUCAUUCUAGCAGUUCAAUUUCAGCAGGAAACACUGAAAUUUCUCUAUUGUAAAUAUACAGUACAGUUUGUUCCUGUUGUAUAUGUUAUUCUGGUUUUGGUAAAUUUUCAUCAAGAAUUGCAUCAUUAACCCUAACACUUAAAGAUUUUGUUUUAAUUUGAUAUUUCAACUAUUAGUUUUUGAACUCACCUGAGAAGAUGACAGAUUUUGUAAAAAAAAAGUUGCUAUCUUUCUGUUAUUUAUAAAAGAUUUUUUCAAGCUUUCUUGAAGGUUUUUAUAAUCUUUAUGUCAUCAUUAUGACAUGUCAUAAUGUUCCCUACUCUUCUUUGAGUCUAGCAGGUGAAAGAAGCAGCAUUUACAAAAGAAGAAAAAGGAAAAUCACUAGAGGAUAUGCUCUUUUAGGAAGAAACGGGAAGUUUCUAAACAAACACAUGUACACUGACAGUGAAUAAUUCAAACAGUGUGUGUUGUUGCAAUGGCCUGUUAAUAUCCAUACCAAAACAAUCUGUUCACAGCUCACAUGCUGCCUGCAGGACACCCAGUGAACUCCAUUGCCCAGGAAACAAGGGGAGAUAAUGUCAAGCUUUGACAAGAUGAAGAUCAUUCUGGAGCUGUGAAUGACUACCCAUUACAUUUCUGAAUAUUAAAAAUAUUCUUGAAAAAGAAAAAAAAAUAAAUGUAAAUUUAGACCCUUCA